Oryctolagus cuniculus (rabbit) is the source of this 3274-nucleotide non-coding RNA. NCBI's taxonomy places the organism in Eukaryota, Metazoa, Chordata, Mammalia, Lagomorpha, Leporidae. The record is from RefSeq and is a predicted model, not a curated record.
UUGGCUACUAUCACAGACCAGGACCUUGUUGUUUUUCCUUCUCCCUUUCUCCCUCCCUCCUUCCUCCCCCCCAUCUGUUUAUAGAAAGAGCCAGUUGACAGGUGCACUACCGCCCAAUUCCGUGUGGGGAGAAUUUGCCCUGCAGGCGCCCCAACCUUGGGGUGCCCUGCCAUUAGCUGAUUGUCCUAGGGCUGCUAGCUGGACCCCAUUUGCAUGUCCAGUCUCUCAGGCCUCUGUCCCACACGGGGACACUUUCUCUCUGACACCUGUCCACCAGUAAGUCCAUUGUCCUCAUGCCCAUCUUGUUCCAGAUUCAAAGCUGGCUCCUUUGUAUUUGUUUAAAAAAAGCAGAACUCCAGUCUUAAAAGAAUCAGACAGGCCUGAGCAAGUAUACGCCAGGAGGAAGAGAAGUGCCUUUAAGAGACUCAAUUGAAAACAAAUUAAUCAGGCAGCGAAUAAACACAUUUCUCCCAGGGAUGUUGACUCGCUUUGUAGUUAUUUAAAGAAAGCAAAUUGUUCGUGGGCAAAUUGUCCAAGACAGCUUUUUCCAGGCCCCGGGUGUGUGGCUUGGCUGCCUGCAAGCUCAUUCCCAUCAGCAGACAAUGGCUGGAGAGGAUGGGAGCUCCGUGACUUUCCCUGAAAGGAGUCAAUGGAAGCAGUAAUGAUGUCCCCACUCUGAAGUGAUCCAUGCAAUGUGCCAGGAUGGCGUUACCUGAAGAACGAAUCGAGAGGUGUGUGUCUGUGGAGGAGCUCCCUAUCCUGUGCCUGAAUCACUGACGUGACAGGUGCGCGCUCAGGCCGAUGCUGGCCAGCGCUACAGGCAUGGAAAGGUACAGUACAGAACUGACAUCUGCACCACCCAGUGGAGUCCACGAAUUGGAUAAAAUCUUCUACAAAGAGAGAAUGUUGACUGAGAUGAGAAGCCAAAGACGGGGUCUGCUGAGGGAGGAAGAGCUGGCAGAAGGGAGUGGUCAUUGGCGUAGAAGGAGUCCAGAUGGAGGUGUAACGCAGAAACCUGGAGAAGAACACAUAGCAGGAAGGCGGAACAGGCCAACCAGGUGGCUGAGAAACUCUGUAAGUGGGUAGACGGCUGUUGAUGCUAAGUGUCCAUCCAGUGGAGUGGUGGAAAUGAAACUCCCCUGGAAAGAGCUGAAGAGGGAAUGAGAUAAAUAAACAUAGACCAAGAAGUUAGAUGACUUAGAUUUCUUUCCAGGAAUUUUUCAAUGAAGGGAAACAGGACAGUAACUGAAGGGGACAUUAGGCCGGCGCCGCGGCUCACUAGGCUAAUCCUCCACCUUGCGGCGCCGGCACACCUGGUUCUAGUCCCGGUCGGGGCGCCAGAUUCUGUCCCGGUUGCCCCUCUUCCAGGCCAGCCCUCUGCUGUGGCCAGGGAGUGCAGUGGAGGAUGGCCCAGGUGCUUGGGCCCUGCACCCCAUGGGAGACCAGGAAAAGCACCUGGCUCCUGGCUCCUGCCAUCGGAUCAGCGCGGUGCGCCGGCCGCAGCGCGCUGGCUGUGGCGGCCAUUGGAGGGUGAACCAACGGCAAAGGAAGACCUUUCUCUCUGUCUCUCUCUCUCACUGUCCACUCUGCCUGUCAAAAAAAAAAAAAAAGGUGGGGGGGACAUUGGAUUGUAUUUGGCAGGGGGUGAGGGGUGGGGUGGGGGGUGGUGGUUAGGUGACAUUAAGUCAUCUUUAGACACUGAUGAGAAAGAUCCAGGAGAGGGGCACAGGACAAUGAUCAAUGCAUGAGGAGACGACUGCAGGAUUGACAUCCACUGUAGUUUGGGGAAUAAUCUGGGUGUUCCCCAAGAGCCCAUGUGUUAAAGUCUUGAUACCCAAAGUUUAUGUUAAUGGAUUAAGGAUCAAACUUAGUUGAGUUGUGGUGUUUGAAGGUGAGGCCUUGGAAAGUAACAAGACUGGAUUAGGUCACUAGGGUCGAGGCCCAUGAGCAAAUCCUUGUGACCAUAUAGAGAAAAAACACUUAGCUAUGAGGAUGUGCAGGCUCUCUGACCCUCUCUGCUUUCUGGUUCACCACAUGACCAUCCCUCUGCAGGUGACCCACAACUGCCAUCUUCUACCAGAUGUCAGACUAAUGAGACUGGCAGAUCUUGUCCUGUGAAUCUCCAAAACUGUGAGCCAGAAUCAUAUUCUUUCCUAAGUAGCGUCUUCCAGAUAUUUUAGUCAAGUGAUGAAAAAGCUGACUAAUACCACAUCCUUGAGAGGUGAGAGGGGACUGGAUCCAAAACAUGCACAUAUCUCUCUGCAAGACAGGCGAUUUGCAUGAGCGUUCAGUACAGAACUGACUCAGCAGCUCAGCUGAAGCUUGCAAAAGUAAAGACAGAAAGCAGCAGUGUUCUUUCCCAUCACAGACCAUGAAACCAGUCCUCUCGACGUGCACCUUGCUGCUCCUGCACAAAAUCUCCAGGACUUUGUGUGGGCUUUUGUUCAGUUCCUCUCAGAUGACAAUAACAAAAUCCACUGGUCGUGUUUGGCGCUCUGUAUGUUAUGAAAACCCCAAGACUGACUUAAUUUUUCAUUUCUCGUCUCUCCCAGCCUACUCCAUAGGCAGGGAUUGCCCGUGAGGGAGGUGGAAGGAGAAGUGAUUUUCCUUUCUUGCUGCUUCACCUCACCCACCAGCUACUCUGACUGGUCCUGUCUCGGCCCUUCUGUGCUCGAGGCCUGGUAGUGAGGAAAGCCGUGGGGCAGGAAGGCCUUGUCUGAUUGACGGGUUGACAUUUGGCAUGGACACCCUUCCCAGGCACAGAAUUUCAAUGCCAGUUCUGUCGCUUCUGAAGCAUUUUUAUAGAUCCUUGCACGAUCUCCUGUGGGUGAGAAGCUCUCGAAGCGCAGCUGGAUGCAUGCCUCAUGACUGCUCACAGUCCACACCCAUCUGAGGGGUCAGCCUCCCCCAAGACAGUCCCCUCGGACAGAGUCCAUCCUCGGAUGACCCAGUCUGCUCCUUUCUACGGGAUCCUUAUCUGACUGGGGGGACACACAACUCACGACCAACGAAACUCUCUACUCCAUGGCUCGUGGGCAGCCAGCUAAAGACUUUUCCUUUCCAGAUGUUGUAUGCGUUUCUUCAUACUCCAGGGGACGCACAAUAACGUCUCUGAGAGAGUGGCAGACAGUCCCCUCCCCCACCCACCGCCAGGCUCUCCAAACACAGUCUCAGCGUUGGCAUCACUGAGCCCCUCUGAGUCUCCAUUGCCUGGAGGCGGCAAUGGACUAAUGCCAAGACAGGUACCGCUGUCUCUAAGCCUGAUCUGCAUGGA